This 259-nucleotide unclassified non-coding RNA is filed under the name fungal sp. RNAcentral describes it as "partial internal transcribed spacer region". The stretch from base 1 to 46 matches the Rfam family "Eukaryotic small subunit ribosomal RNA", at positions 1786 to 1831 of the family's 1831-position model. The record is from RNAcentral. Lineage: Eukaryota; Fungi.
AAGUCGUAACAAGGUUUCCGUAGGUGAACCUGCGGAAGGAUCAUUAACAAUUCCAAAAACUCGUCUUCUGAACCUGUUUGUCUUUCUUGAAUGUGGAGAGAGUAUAUGAACUCUUCCGGGAGUUUUUUCUUCACAGGAUAGUUAUGGGGAGCAGGUUUAGUCUGACAAAUACUAACAUUAUGAUUUGACAACAUAUGGGAUAUCCAUCAUUUAUAUUUAAAUGUUUAAACAACUUUUAACAAUGGAUCUCUUGGCUCUU